Molecule: ribosomal RNA, 468 nt
Filed under: uncultured bacterium
Lineage: Bacteria
Description: partial 16S ribosomal RNA
Rfam family: Bacterial small subunit ribosomal RNA
Source: RNAcentral
GACGAACGCUGGCGGCGUGCUUAACACAUGCAAGUCGAACGGAAAGGCCCUGCUUUUGUGGGGUGCUCGAGUGGCGAACGGGUGAGUAACACGUGAGUAACCUGCCCUUCACUUUGGGAUAACUUCAGGAAACUGGGCCUAAUACCGGAUAGGAGCUCCUGCUGCAGGGUGGGGGGUGGAAAGUUUCGGCGGGUGGGGUUGGACUCGCGGCUUAUCAGCUUGUUGGUGGGGUAGUGGCUUACCAAGGCUGUGACGGGUCGCCGGCCUGAGAGGGUGACCGGCCACAUUGGGACUGCGAUACGGCCCAGACUCCUACGGGAGGCAGCAGUGGGGAAUAUUGCACAAUGGGCGGAAGCCUGAUGCAGCAACGCCGCGUGCGGGAUGACGGCCUUCGGGUUGUAAACCGCUUUAGCCUGUGACGAAGCGUGAGUGACGGUAAUGGGUAAAGAAGCACCGGCUAACUACGUG